AUGCCUUUCUCAGCCUUUUGGCUAAGAUCAAGUGUAGUAUCUGUUCUUAACAGUUUAGUAACAAAACUAAUAAAGUCAAAAUCGGAUUUCAAGUCGUACAUUGCAUGACAUCUUAGUGAUGUUACCUUUC
Molecule: small nuclear RNA, 130 nt
Filed under: Helianthus annuus (common sunflower)
Lineage: Eukaryota; Viridiplantae; Streptophyta; Magnoliopsida; Asterales; Asteraceae
Description: U2 spliceosomal RNA
Rfam family: U2 spliceosomal RNA
About the family: U2 is a small nuclear RNA (snRNA) component of the spliceosome (involved in pre-mRNA splicing).
Source: RNAcentral